CACCACCAUAUGAGUACAAGUCGCCGCCACCACCUUCCCCGUCUCCACCACCACCAUAUGAGUACAAAUCUCCUCCUCCACCAUCACCGUCACCUCCCCCCCCUUACCACCACUCCUCUCCACCACCACCUUCGCCAUCUCCUCCUCCACCUUACCACGACUCCUCUCCACCACCACCUUCGCCAUCUCCUCCUCCACCUUACCACGACUCCUCUCCACCACCACCUUCGCCAUCUCCUCCUCCACCUUACCACGACUCCUCUCCACCACCACCUUCGCCAUCUCCUCCUCCACCUUACCACGACUCCUCUCCACCACCACCUUCGCCAUCUCCUCCUCCACCUUACCACGACUCCUCUCCACCACCACCAUAUGAGUACAAAUCUCCUCCUCCACCAUCACCGUCACCUCCCCCACCUUACGAGUACAAGUCUCCUCCUCCUCCUUCACCGUCACCACCGCCACCAUACUACUACAAGUCACCGCCGCCACCAUCACCCUCUCCUCCUCCACCAUACUACUAUAAAUCUCCACCACCACCUUCUCCAUCUCCGCCGCCACCUUACCACUACUCUUCUCCACCACCACCUAAGAAAUCACCUCCACCACCAUACUACUACAAAUCUCCACCACCACCUUCGCCAUCUCCUCCUCCACCUUACCACUACUCCUCUCCACCACCACCUAAAAAAUCACCUCCACCACCAUACUACUAUAAGUCUCCACCACCACCUUCACCAUCUCCUCCACCACCGUACUACUAUAAGUCUCCGCCGCCACCAUCACCCUCUCCUCCACCACCAUACUAUUAU
This 812-nucleotide long non-coding RNA is filed under the name Linum usitatissimum (flax). RNAcentral's name for it is "long non-coding RNA (LUSI_LNC005639)". The record is from RNAcentral. Lineage: Eukaryota; Viridiplantae; Streptophyta; Magnoliopsida; Malpighiales; Linaceae.